Long non-coding RNA from Musca domestica (house fly), 2363 nucleotides. RefSeq lists it as uncharacterized. Lineage: Eukaryota; Metazoa; Arthropoda; Insecta; Diptera; Muscidae. The record is from RefSeq and is a predicted model, not a curated record. The transcript has 3 exons.
UAAAUUUUUAGAAGUACUUGAGUGUACUCUUUUCAGUUCAACCAUUCCAAGUAUUCUAGUUUCAAUUUUGUCAUUUUCUACAAAUUGUGCAAAAAAAUAUUUCUAAACAAUCUUGUGGCACUGCCAAUUUUUAAAAAGAUUAAUUUGUUUGCACAUUCUCUGCAUAUUUCUGACAAAGUCUGUUUGCACUUUUCGGUAUUUAGAGAAAAUUUUUUCCCAUUCUCAUUCUCAAUUCCUUUGCAGAUAGGAUCUAUUAUGUUCCGCAUGUGCUGCGAUUGUGCUGUGCUUCAUCGGUCACUAAACCUAUGUACGAUUUAAACAGCUGUUUUUUGCUGUAAGGGGUGUACUUGCCUUGUUUUUGUUUCCUCCGCAUAUAUUCUCUCUGAUUCCUGACGGUAAUUAUAGGAAACUGACAGCGCCACCUUCAUGUGAUAAUCCAAUAAGAUCGACGUUAUUGAGUUCGGCAUCAUCAUUAUCAUCUUAUUAUUUGGCUUGUUAAUUUAUUCUCUCCGUGCCAUAUUGUACAAUGGUGAGUUUAUUAUAUUGAUUGAUUUGAAAUAAUAGGAAAUUAUGAGAAUUCGUCUUUUUAUUACUUUUAUUGAAUUUGGCACCCACCACUGAGAAAUUCAGAGCAGAGUCAUAAAAAACUGGUCUUUUUCCUUCCUAUUAUAUGUUAUUUCCUUGUAUGUUCGCAUCAAGCUGACAGCCCUAAAAAUUUACACCAAAGAGGCCACGUGUAACAGAGUAGCUCCUCCAGAAAAAAAAAAACAAAUUACCGGCAAAUAAAAACAAACUGGGGAUUUAAACUGGUUUUGUUAACAAUUUCAAUCCGGAGUUAUUAGAAACAUAAGCUCGACUCAAAAGCUUGAUCAAAAUCUAGCAAAGUUGGUGAUGUUGGACAAGGUUGCUUAUCAAAUAUUGCUUAAUGUGCCAAAGUAAACUAUAGAAGAUUGGACAACAUCUGAAAAUCGUCUCAGCUAUAAAAAACCUUGCUUAAAUUACCGAAUCUUUGCUGAAAAAAUAGUUCGAACGCGUCAACCAGCAACAGUGUGUUCAAUUUCACGUAAAAAGUGUUAAUUAUUCGUUUUUCUAGUCCAACACAAAUUGGCAUGUUUUUUGCAAACCAGUAAAGAAUUCAUCAAUUGUGACUAAAUUUUGCGUAAUUUAAGAUUAGUCGCCGAGUGAAAAAUAUCUAAUCUUAACUUUUGCACUAGCCCUAAGAAGAAAAAGUUCCAAACUAAUUUCGUAUUUUCCUGUAACACUAUAGUGCUAUUAUUAGUCCUUCUACCCUAAUAUUAAAUCUAAAAAAGAUAAAAUUUCAUUAAAGCAGGGGUGAACUUUUAAGCAAGGGUGUACAUUUUUUUUCUUUUCGAUAUACCCAUUUAUACUUUACCAAGCUACCAACAGACCUUAGGAACAAACAAUUGCACAUAAAUCUUACUAACAUUAUGUAUGUAAGAAUCUUACAUUCAUGUUCUUGGUAACCUUUCUGCAUUGUGCGUGCCGAUCAGCCUCGGUUAAAAGUGUAGUGUGUACCAAGAGAGAAUUAUGUUAUCAUUAAUACUGGUUGCUUUACAGAUGUCAUGCUGCCCUAUGUUGUACUCGAAUCAAAGAACAAUUAUAAUUACGCUCUUUUAACAGUCAUCUUUACGUCAGCUGCUUAAAGCGCCCACCGAAAGAUCUUUUGCCGUUGGAGCUCUGAAUAAUUAGCAAGUAAUACGUAAUUUCUUUCUUUUUAUGAAAUUUAUUUUCUUUGCAGGUAAUUUGUUUUCAGGUUAUUUCCCUCUUUUCAGGAAAUUUCUUUUCAGCAUUUUUUUUUCUUUUCAGGAAAUUUCUGGCGGCUGAUAAAGAUAAUUUUGGCUUUAUCUGGAGGCGGUUCUUCCCAAUGUGAAAAGUCAAACAAGGCAUAUCGGGCCCGUACAAAUAUUCGGCGAACAAGGACAAAACAACGUUCCUAACACUGGCUUGAGCUCAACCCUGAGUGAAAUUCUGUACCCAAUGUCGUAAGUAGACUCUAAUCUUAAACUGCUUGUUUUCCUUUCAACUAACUUUUACUAUUGUCUUGCUAUGCAAUUUUCGUGGAAUCUAAUUGGCUUGCUGUGCGUCCGUCCCUCUGUCCAAGUUGAAGGGUACAAAGUCUAUGGGAAUUACCAGGGCUUGCCAGAGUGACAAAGCUGCAAAUCUGCGCCCCCACGUUGGACUGGAUGGUGUUAGAGUGGCUCCCGAGGUUAAUUUUAAGAUGGUUUCCAAGUUUGUGUUUAAAUUUUUAAACUUUGUUUAAGUUAAGUUGUUUAAUUAAUUGUUUUUAAUUUUUUUUAACUCCUUUUAUUUUAAGUUUUAAAGCAAAACGAAAAUUUAAUAAA